This 927-nucleotide ribosomal RNA is filed under the name Triticum aestivum (bread wheat). RNAcentral describes it as "partial small subunit ribosomal RNA". The record is from RNAcentral. Lineage: Eukaryota; Viridiplantae; Streptophyta; Magnoliopsida; Poales; Poaceae.
AUGUUUUCCGCCCAAUCCCGCUCCAAAGCAAACCACGUUCGCAUCUCCCUCACCACCGCCCAGAAAGGAACCCAAUCUGCCGCCACAUACUUCGGUCACAUGCGAGGCCUUGCCGAUGAGUUAGUCGCAGCCGGCAAACCUAUCACAGAAAAUGAGCUCGUCUCCCACAUCAUCUCUGGCCUAGACAUGGAUUACCAACCGAUUAUCUCUGCCCUUGAUGUUCGUCCUGAUGAUGUUUCUGUAGAUGAGCUCUUCGGCAUGGUUGCUACCUUCGAUCAGAGGGUGGAGAUGUUCCAGGGCACGGGCGCAGGCGCCUUCAAGUCGUCGGCCAAUGCCGCAUCGCGCGGCCGUGGAGGUGGCCAGCCCAAAGGCUACCGCGGCAACGGUGGCGGCGGCGGCGGCUCCCGUCGUGAUGGACAUGGCGGCGGUGCCCACAACCCCAUCAGUGGCGGCGGUGGCCACUACGGUGACCACGGCAACCAGUACGGGGGUGGUGGCGGCGGCCACUACUCCAACAACGGCGGCGGCGGCUACAACUACAACACCCAUCACCAGGGAGGAGGCCGACCCUUCUACAACAACAAUAGGGGCAGUCAAAACAACUACAACAACAACAACUUUCGCGGGUAUGAUGAGUAUGAGGGCAAGUGCCAAAUUUGUAAGAAAACUAAUCACAUAGCAAAAGAGUGCAAGUGGCGAUAUGCUGAAGAUAACUCACGCAAGAAGAAGAUUGCUGAUGCGGCAAACACAGGCUAUGGUGCAGGCUAUGGUGCAUAUUCAAACUGGUAUGUGGAUUCUGGAGCCACGGACCACAUCACCCAUGAGCUAGAGAAGGUCACCAUGCAUGAAAGAUACAACGGGCACGAUCAAGUUCAUAAUGCCGAUGGUUCAGGAUCAGGUCACGAAGCAAAUUCUUUACCGAGGUAG